Molecule: ribosomal RNA, 805 nt
Filed under: actinobacterium SCGC AAA208-N15
Lineage: Bacteria; Bacillati; Actinomycetota; Actinomycetes
Description: bacterial SSU rRNA
Rfam family: Bacterial small subunit ribosomal RNA
Source: RNAcentral
UACACAUGCAAGUCGAGCGAUGAGAUCCCUUCGGGGAAGGAUUAGCGGCGAACGGGUGAGGAACACGUGAGGAAUCUGCCUUCAACACUGGGAUAACUCCGGGAAACCGGGGCUAAUACCGGAUACGAGACCUGCAGGCAUCUGCGGGUUUGGAAAGUUUUUCGGUUGAAGAUGACCUCGCGGCCUAUCAGCUUGUUGGUGAGGUAAUGGCUCACCAAGGCGACGACGGGUAGCCGGCCUGAGAGGGCGACCGGCCACACUGGGACUGAGACACGGCCCAGACUCCUACGGGAGGCAGCAGUGGGGAAUAUUGGGCAAUGGAGGGAACUCUGACCCAGCGACGCCGCGUGCGGGAUGAAGGCCUUCGGGUUGUAAACCGCUUUCAGCAAGGAAGAAGCGAAAGUGACGGUACUUGCAGAAGAAGCACCGGCUAACUAUGUGCCAGCAGCCGCGGUAAUACAUAGGGUGCAAGCGUUGUCCGGAAUUAUUGGGCGUAAAGAGCUCGUAGGUGGUUCGUCACGUCGGAUGUGAAAAUCUGGGGCUUAACCCCAGACCUGCAUUCGAUACGGGCGAGCUAGAGUGUGGUAGGGGAGACUGGAAUUCCUGGUGUAGCGGUGGAAUGCGCAGAUAUCAGGAGGAACACCAAUGGCGAAGGCAGGUCUCUGGGCCAUUACUGACACUGAGGAGCGAAAGCGUGGGGAGCGAACAGGAUUAGAUACCCUGGUAGUCCACGCCGUAAACGGUGGGCACUAGUUGUGGGAACCUUCCACGGUUUCUGCGACGCAGCUAACGCAUUAAGUGCCCC